AUUGAACGCUGGCGGCAUGCUUUACACAUGCAAGUCGAACGGCAGCGCGGGGCAACCUGGCGGCGAGUGGCGAACGGGUGAGUAAUAUAUCGGAACGUACCCAAGAGUGGGGGAUAACGUAGCGAAAGUUACGCUAAUACCGCAUACGAUCUAAGGAUGAAAGUGGGGGAUCGCAAGACCUCAUGCUCCUGGAGCGGCCGAUAUCUGAUUAGCUAGUUGGUAGGGUAAAGGCCUACCAAGGCUACGAUCAGUAGCUGGUCUGAGAGGACGACCAGCCACACUGGAACUGAGACACGGUCCAGACUCCUACGGGAGGCAGCAGUGGGGAAUUUUGGACAAUGGGCGCAAGCCUGAUCCAGCAAUGCCGCGUGAGUGAAGAAGGCCUUCGGGUUGUAAAGCUCUUUUGUCAGGGAAGAAACGGCUCCAGCUAAUAUCUGGGGCUAAUGACGGUACCUGAAGAAUAAGCACCGGCUAACUACGUGCCAGCAGCCGCAGUAAUACGUAGGGUGCAAGCGUUAAUCGGAAUUACUGGGCGUAAAGCGUGCGCAGGCGGUUUUGUAAGUCUGUCGUGAAAGCCCCGGGCUCAACCUGGGAAUUGCGAUGGAGACUGCAAGGCUUGAAUCUGGCAGAGGGGGGUAGAAUUCCACGUGUAGCAGUGAAAUGCGUAGAGAUGUGGAGGAACACCGAUGGCGAAGGCAGCCCCCUGGGUCAAGAUUGACGCUCAUGCACGAAAGCGUGGGGAGCAAACAGGAUUAGAUACCCUGGUAGUCCACGCCCUAAACGAUGUCUACUAGUUGUCGGGUUUUAAUUAACUUGGUAACGCAGCUAACGCGUGAAGUAGACCGCCUGGGGAGUACGGUCGCAAGAUUAAAACUCAAAGGAAUUGACGGGGACCCGCACAAGCGGUGGAUGAUGUGGAUUAAUUCGAUGCAACGCGAAAAACCUUACCUACCCUUGACAUGUACGGAAGCCACGAGAGAUCGAGGUGUGCUCGAAAGAGAACCGUAACACAGGUGCUGCAUGGCUGUCGUCAGCUCGUGUCGUGAGAUGUUGGGUUAAGUCCCGCAACGAGCGCAACCCUUGUCAUUAGUUGCUACAUUUAGUUGAGCACUCUAAUGAGACUGCCGGUGACAAACCGGAGGAAGGUGGGGAUGACGUCAAGUCCUCAUGGCCCUUAUGGGUAGGGCUUCACACGUCAUACAAUGGUACAUACAGAGGGCCGCCAACCCGCGAGGGGGAGCUAAUCCCAGAAAGUGUAUCGUAGUCCGGAUCGCAGUCUGCAACUCGACUGCGUGAAGUUGGAAUCGCUAGUAAUCGCGGAUCAGCAUGUCGCGGUGAAUACGUUCCCGGGUCU
RNAcentral lists this ribosomal RNA (1354 nucleotides) under uncultured bacterium. RNAcentral describes it as "bacterial SSU rRNA". It matches the Rfam family "Bacterial small subunit ribosomal RNA", at positions 28 to 1381 of the family's 1533-position model. The record is from RNAcentral.